This 490-nucleotide ribosomal RNA is filed under the name uncultured bacterium. Its description in RNAcentral is "partial 16S ribosomal RNA". It matches the Rfam family "Bacterial small subunit ribosomal RNA", at positions 30 to 507 of the family's 1533-position model. The record is from RNAcentral.
AUUGAACGCUGGCGGCAGGCCUAACACAUGCAAGUCGAACGGUAACAGGAAGCAGCUUGCUGCUUUGCUGACGAGUGGCGGACGGGUGAGUAAUGUCUGGGAAACUGCCCGAUGGAGGGGGAUAACUACUGGAAACGGUAGCUAAUACCGCAUAACGUCGCAAGACCAAAGAGGGGGACCUUAGGGCCUCUUGCCAUCGGAUGUGCCCAGAUGGGAUUAGCUAGUAGGUGGGGUAACGGCUCACCUAGGCGACGAUCCCUAGCUGGUCUGAGAGGAUGACCAGCCACACUGGAACUGAGACACGGUCCAGACUCCUACGGGAGGCAGCAGUGGGGAAUAUUGCACAAUGGGCGCAAGCCUGAUGCAGCCAUGCCGCGUGUAUGAGGAAGGCCUUCGGGUUGUAAAGUACUUUCAGCGGGGAGGAAGGGAGUAAAGUUAAUACCUUGGCUCAUUGACGUUACCCGCAGAAGAAGCACCGGCUAACUCCGUG